This 253-nucleotide ribosomal RNA is filed under the name uncultured bacterium. RNAcentral's name for it is "partial 16S ribosomal RNA". It matches the Rfam family "Bacterial small subunit ribosomal RNA", at positions 524 to 776 of the family's 1533-position model. The record is from RNAcentral.
UACGUAGGGAGCAAGCGUUGUCCGGAAUCAUUGGGCGUAAAGCGCGCGUAGGCGGCCCCGUAAGUCCGCUGUGAAAGUCAAAGGCUCAACCUUUGAAAGCCGGUGGAUACUGUGGGGCUAGAGUCCGGAAGAGGCGAGUGGAAUUCCUGGUGUAGCGGUGGAAUGCGCAGAUAUCAGGAGGAACACCAAUAGCGAAGGCAGCUCGCUGGGACGGUACUGACGCUAAGGCGCGAAAGCGUGGGGAUCAAACAGG